GAUGAACGCUGGCGGCGUGCCUAAUACAUGCAAGUAGAACGCUGAAGCUUGGUGCUUGCACCGAGCGGAUGAGUUGCGAACGGGUGAGUAACGCGUAGGUAACCUGCCUCUUAGCGGGGGAUAACUAUUGGAAACGAUAGCUAAUACCGCAUAAAAGUCGAUAUCGCAUGAUAUUGAUUUGAAAGGUGCAAUUGCAUCACUAAGAGAUGGACCUGCGUUGUAUUAGCUAGUUGGUGAGGUAACGGCUCACCAAGGCGACGAUACAUAGCCGACCUGAGAGGGUGAUCGGCCACACUGGGACUGAGACACGGCCCAGACUCCUACGGGAGGCAGCAGUAGGGAAUCUUCGGCAAUGGGGGCAACCCUGACCGAGCAACGCCGCGUGAGUGAAGAAGGUUUUCGGAUCGUAAAGCUCUGUUGUAAGAGAAGAACGAGUGUGAGAGUGGAAAGUUCACACUGUGACGGAACUACCAGAAAGGAC
RNAcentral lists this ribosomal RNA (481 nucleotides) under Streptococcus parasanguinis. Its description in RNAcentral is "bacterial SSU rRNA". It matches the Rfam family "Bacterial small subunit ribosomal RNA", at positions 28 to 493 of the family's 1533-position model. Lineage: Bacteria; Bacillati; Bacillota; Bacilli; Lactobacillales; Streptococcaceae. The record is from RNAcentral.